Molecule: ribosomal RNA, 597 nt
Filed under: uncultured bacterium
Lineage: Bacteria
Description: bacterial SSU rRNA
Rfam family: Bacterial small subunit ribosomal RNA (bases 1-520)
Source: RNAcentral
CCUACGGGAGGCAGCAGUAAGGAAUCUUCCACAAUGGACGAAAGUCUGAUGGAGCAACGCCGCGUGCAGGAUGAAGGCUUUCGGGUCGUAAACUGCUUUUAUAUGGGAAGAUUAUGACGGUACCAUAUGAAUAAGGACCGGCUAACUACGUGCCAGCAGCCGCGGUAAUACGUAGGGUCCAAGCGAUAUCCGGAAUUACUGGGCGUAAAGCGUGUGUAGGUGGAUUAAUAAGUGUGAUGCGAAAUCCGGCGGCUCAACCGUUUGGACUGUGUCGCAUACUGUUAGCCUAGAGGACGGCAGAGGUAAGUGGAAUUACGGGUGUAGCAGUGAAAUGCGUAGAUAUCCGUAGGAACACCAAUGGCGAAGGCAGCUUACUGGGCCACACCUGACACUGAGACACGAAAGCGUGGGGAGCGAACAGGAUUAGAUACCCUGGUAGUCCACGCCGUAAACCGAUGCAUACUAUUAGUAUGGGGUAUGACCCCCUGUGCUGAGAAGCUAACGCGAUAAGUAUGCCGCCGNGGGAGGUACGAGCGCAGACUAAACUAACAAAGAAGUAGAGCGUGAGACGNGCGACGACGACGACGAGGGAGGAGG